Molecule: antisense RNA, 374 nt
Filed under: Homo sapiens (human)
Lineage: Eukaryota; Metazoa; Chordata; Mammalia; Primates; Hominidae
Description: partial NPPA antisense transcript isoform NPPA-AS.8
Rfam family: NPPA antisense RNA 1 conserved region 2 (bases 132-264)
Source: RNAcentral
AUUCCCAGUCACCCACUCACUCAGAAAGCCGGGAGUCAUCGGACACCUUGCUGCAGGCAGAGCUCAGAGGAUCUUGGCAUCACCCACCAAAGUUAGCUGAAAGCAGGGCACUCCUGGAUAAAGCAGCUUCACUCAACUCUGGGGAAUGCUACCAUUUUUUUUCCAAAGUAGAAAGGAAGCACUUCUGAGCCAGUGACCACUGAAAGAGUAAAACGACAAGGAAUAUCGGCCUGAAUUCUCUUCCCAAGAAGAAAGAAAGCACACCAACGCAGGCAUUUGUCUUCUGUCCAUGGUGCUGAAGUUUAUUCACUUUCAAACCACUUUCAGUAACAGGUCUGCGUUGGACACGGCAUUGUACAUGGGAUUAGCUCUGG